This 23-nucleotide non-coding RNA is filed under the name Arabidopsis thaliana (thale cress). The record is from RNAcentral. Lineage: Eukaryota; Viridiplantae; Streptophyta; Magnoliopsida; Brassicales; Brassicaceae.
UGGAGAGUAUUAGCCAACUUUCA